This is a long non-coding RNA of Mirounga angustirostris (Northern elephant seal), 2460 nucleotides long. RefSeq lists it as uncharacterized. The record is from RefSeq and is a predicted model, not a curated record. The transcript has 5 exons. Lineage: Eukaryota; Metazoa; Chordata; Mammalia; Carnivora; Phocidae.
UUUUUAAAGAUUUUAUUUAUUUAUUUGAGACAGAGAGAAUGAGAGACAGAGAGCAUGAGAGGGAGGAGGGUCAGAGGGAGAAGCAGACCCCCUGCCGAGCAGGGAGCCCGAUGCGGGACUCGAUCCAGGGACUCCAGGAUCAUGACCCGAGCCGAAGGCAGUCGCUUAACCAACUGAGCCACCCAGGCGCCCUUCCUAAAACUUUUUAAAAAUUAUUUUAAAAACUACUUUUGCUUGGGCAGAAUAUAUGGGUUGGUUUUAAAUGCCAGUUAAUCUCCCCAAACUUCAAUGGUCCCUGAGGAAGUUCUUGCUGGGGCACACACACGUGCAACUGAGGCAGUAGAAUGAGUCUGUCUUCAUCCCUUUCUCUGGAGAGUUCUCCGGAACUGGUAGUUUUGGAAAGAGACUCCCCUCAUUCAGUUAUUCAGCAGAUACUUAUUGAGAAGUUACUAUAAGCCAGUCACUCUGCUAGGUGGGGAAGAAAGAAGAUGACCAAGAAAUACACAGUCCUCCAGGAACUCACUGUUUGGCCGAUGAGCCCAAUGUGGAUUGGAUCUGUAAUCACAACAUGGUACAAUAAGGUCCAUGCCUGAAUGCCUAGUCUGUGGGAACACGGAAGAGAAACAAUUCAUCCUGCCUUGAUUCAGAGGUGGGAGGCCUGGGGCAUACUUGCAUGAGGCUCCCUCACUUGGACACAUCUCUAUGCCAUUUUCCUCACAUGUAAUACAAGGUAUGAUAACCAUACCCACCUAUGGUUACAGUGAGGAUACAGAAAGCUUAUAACAGUGUCAGGCACAGAAAAAUAUUUCACCAAAUCAUUGAGCUGAAUUAUUUUAGCUAUGAGGGUUUUUCUUAUACUCUUCACCCUGCCAGGGCCCUAAGAAGUAUGAAGGUCAGAAUCACCUUUUCCUGUUGUGAUUUGCAGUAUGGAAAUAGAAAGUGCAUGGUCCUUCAGUACUUUUACCAGGACUCUGAAAAUAAGGAAUAUGAACUGCUUCUAGGAGAUGAAUUGAUUUAAUCAGGACUUUGCUGAUACCACAGUCUUUGGCAUGACUUCUUGGCUCAUUGCUGAUCCCAGGAAAAGACUGAGUGCCGACAAAUGAAGUAUUCAGUAUUCGUGGAAAGAGGGAAUCAACAAAUGCUGGGUCGCAAUGUUCCUACACCCACAUCCUUGCUGCGGAGCAGUUCCCGCAGGCAGCCACAACCCCUGAAGGAGAGCAUCCCAGGCUCCGGUGAGGGGUCCUGCUGCAGUCCUCAGCACAGAAAGAACUCUCCAGAACAGCCUUCCUUCUGUCUCUAGGGAGUAGACUCCAAAACUGUUUCCAAAGUGAAAUGUCAUUAAUAUACUCUACCCUCUGAGGAAUAAUCCUCCUGCCUUUCAUAGCUGACUGUGACUGCAUCCGGCCUCCCAAACAGCUUACCUGAUUAAAUCACCCACAGGAUUGGGAAGUGACCUAUCAUCUGAAUUUGUUAAUUCCAGCAAAGAUUAUGUGAAGUUGACAUUGAUGAUUAUCAUUUUAACCAGUCGCUGCAUCGUCAACAUCUGAUACUCAUACCACAUGAGGUGACAAAGUCAAUCCGUUGGCCCGUCUGCCCCAAAGCCACAGAGAUCUUGUCUUCCAGUGAUGAUUUAAUGAAGCCCAAGUCAUCUUGCAAAGAGGAAGUGGAAAAGGAUUCAAACAGCACUUUUUUGGCAGCAACAAUGGUUCUGUGGCUGUUCUCUUUUAACAUCAUGGCUGAUGAAUAUGUCAGAGCUCUUUAGAGACAGUGUCCUCUCUUACGUGUGUUCUGCAGUGCUCAAAAAAAGGGAAACUUGUCUUUCGUGGCUUCCAAGAAAAAGUGUUUUUCUCCUCUUCUUUUUGUUUGUUGCACGUCUAAAUCCCAGAAUCAUCUAGGAAGAGGAAGGGGGGUAAGACUUUCAAAAGAAUUGAAUCUCUCAUUACUAAAGUAAUAGUCCACCCUGCAUUCACAGACGCUGGCAUGUGCAGAAAAGAAGGUACUGUUUGUCUUACUGCAUCAUAAUUUGGAUGUUUGAUUUAACUAGAGAAGCUUUGUAUUGUAGCCAAUAUGUACUAAAUAAAGUUACCCCUGAGACUAAUCCUCAGAAAUUGGAUAAAUGGAACUGUGCGCUCUGGUAAAAUGGCUCCCUAGGAGACCAUCCCGGGAAGAUAAGAGUACACUUCACCGUAUACCGAAGAAGUGGUAUAGUACGCAAGCGCGCGCGCGCGCACACACACACACACACACACACACACACACUCACCUAAAUUUGCAUAUAGAGGUUUGACUCCUUUCAGAACUUUCUUAGAUUCAUCAUGAAUAUGUUUAUUUAUGCCUCUCCCUUCUGAUAACUCCCCAUUUUUCUUCUUAAUCCAUCUUUUUUUUUUUUUUUUUUUAAUUAUUUGACAGAGAGAGAAUGAGAGAGAGAGCACAUGAGAGGGGGGAGGGUCAGAGGGAGAA